UGGGGAAUAUUGCACAAUGGGCGCAAGCCUGAUGCAGCCAUGCCGCGUGUAUGAAGAAGGCCUUCGGGUUGUAAAGUACUUUCAGUCGGGAGGAAGGUGGUAAGGUUAAUAACCUUAUCAAUUGACGUUACCGACAGAAGAAGCACCGGCUAACUCCGUGCCAGCAGCCGCGGUAAUAUGGAGGGUGCAAGCGUUAAUCGGAAUUACUGGGCGUAAAGCGCACGCAGGCGGUUGAUUGAGUCAGAUGUGAAAUCCCCGGGCUUAACCCGGGAAUUGCAUCUGAUACUGGUCAGCUAGAGUCUUGUAGAGGGGGGUAGAAUUCCAUGUGUAGCGGUGAAAUGCGUAGAGAUGUGGAGGAAUACCGGUGGCGAAGGCGGCCCCCUGGACAAAGACUGACGCUCAGGUGCGAAAGCGUGGGGAGCAAACAGG
RNAcentral lists this ribosomal RNA (429 nucleotides) under Chloroflexota bacterium. RNAcentral describes it as "Chloroflexi bacterium partial 16S ribosomal RNA". It matches the Rfam family "Bacterial small subunit ribosomal RNA", at positions 355 to 776 of the family's 1533-position model. Lineage: Bacteria; Bacillati; Chloroflexota. The record is from RNAcentral.